This 69-nucleotide transfer RNA is filed under the name Parcoblatta pensylvanica (Pennsylvania wood cockroach). RNAcentral's name for it is "tRNA-Trp". It matches the Rfam family "tRNA". Rfam says of the family: Transfer RNA (tRNA) molecules are approximately 80 nucleotides in length. The record is from RNAcentral. Lineage: Eukaryota; Metazoa; Arthropoda; Insecta; Blattodea; Blattellidae.
AAGGUUUUAAGUUAAUUAAACUAAUAGCCUUCAAAGCUAUAAAUAAGGAUUAUUCUUCUUUAAGCCUUA